RNAcentral lists this long non-coding RNA (260 nucleotides) under Setaria viridis. RNAcentral describes it as "long non-coding RNA (SVIR_LNC000493)". Lineage: Eukaryota; Viridiplantae; Streptophyta; Magnoliopsida; Poales; Poaceae. The record is from RNAcentral.
UGUAAACAUGUCCCUAGUUGCUACAAUUUAGGGGGUGUUUGGUUUGAGUUGCUUAUGCAUAAGCAGCUAAAACUAAGCAACUUAUAGCCCAAAGAAACCAAACACCCUUGCUUAUGGGGUUGCUUAUUUUUAGCUCAUAAGCAACACAAGGGUUGCUUAUGGGGGCUAAAAGGUGGUCUUUAUACCUGUGCCCUCAUUUAUUGUCUUGCUGACUCCCCUUUCUCUCUCCUUCCCACCCCCCUCUCUCUCCCCACCGAUCC